UGAGUAAUGCCUAGGAAUCUGCCUGGUAGUGGGGGACAACGUUUCGAAAGGAACGCUAAUACCGCAUACGUCCUACGGGAGAAAGCAGGGGACCUUCGGGCCUUGCGCUAUCAGAUGAGCCUAGGUCGGAUUAGCUAGUUGGUGAGGUAAUGGCUCACCAAGGCGACGAUCCGUAACUGGUCUGAGAGGAUGAUCAGUCACACUGGAACUGAGACACGGUCCAGACUCCUACGGGAGGCAGCAGUGGGGAAUAUUGGACAAUGGGCGAAAGCCUGAUCCAGCCAUGCCGCGUGUGUGAAGAAGGUCUUCGGAUUGUAAAGCACUUUAAGUUGGGAGGAA
RNAcentral lists this ribosomal RNA (339 nucleotides) under uncultured bacterium. Its description in RNAcentral is "bacterial SSU rRNA". It matches the Rfam family "Bacterial small subunit ribosomal RNA", at positions 107 to 449 of the family's 1533-position model. The record is from RNAcentral.